This is a long non-coding RNA of Hermetia illucens (black soldier fly), 1313 nucleotides long. RefSeq lists it as uncharacterized. The transcript has 3 exons. The record is from RefSeq and is a predicted model, not a curated record. NCBI's taxonomy places the organism in Eukaryota, Metazoa, Arthropoda, Insecta, Diptera, Stratiomyidae.
UUCAGAGACACCGAACCUCACUUCGUUCCGUCCCAAAAUAUCCAGGCUAUAUGCUUGAGCAUUUUGGAGAGCCUCAAUACAGUCAUAGAAAAGCAUUCGCACACUUCAGAAUCCAAGCAUAAACCUUUGUCGAAAGCAAGUGUUCGUAGCUGAAAAAUCAGUCCGCCUUCGAGACAUGGCAGCCAUUUCCAAUGAAUAAUAAGAUUCAAGAUUAGCAGGUUGCUAGCCCACAAAUUUCUCAAUUAUACAGCUAUGGUGCAACGCUUACAUACAAUUCAUGCGGAAAUAAUUGUGGUAAACGUUUCUGUUUCUAACAAAAUCAUAGUAGGUCAAAAUUAUCUUUUCUGUGGUAAUCUCUCGAACUCUAAAGGAGCAAAAAGUGACAAUAUUACUUCAAAGUGUCAACAAUCUGUAAAGUGGAUAAUUUGUAUAGUAUGUGUACUUAUCAAAUACUGUGUGAAAUUAUGUGUUUUCCUAAUGUUUACUAUGCAAACGAGUUAUAAUAGACAUAUGUAUGAUACAAUUGACAUACACUUCCCGGUCUCCCAAUUGUUGUUCGUUUUAGUUGUUAGUUUUUAACUUUUUUUGAGUUUUAUCUGCCACAAUCUAGUUUUUGUCUAUGCAUGGCUCAUAUUAUAUUUAUAAUUUUAGUAAAACUGCGAAGCGAAAAUGUAAAUUGCAGAUUGAAUCAUUAGCGAUUUAAAUGAACUUAAACUGUUUUCGGAAUAAACACAUAACAACUCCUAAUUGAGAUUAUCGUUCGACAUUGACGUUGAUUACUGUAAACGUACGUCGUGGAUUACCGCAUGUAGCUAAAUGAAGGAAAGAUACAAUUUCAUCAAUGACUACAAUCACAGCACAAAUCAAAAUGUUUGAUUCGUGACAAAAAUAACCAAUUCAAAUUGGAUUCAACAGUAUCUCACGUAAUAAGCAAACAUGGACCUUCCUACAUAUGUAUAUAUGCGCAUAGUGAGACAAUGCUACAGCGCAUGUUAAGAAGUAAAUCAUAAUUUUCAAUUCAGUCAAUUUAAGACUAUCUGGCUCGGAGAUUUUUCGAAUAUAUCAAGGUAAAGGGACUGCUGGAAGGGGGUCAGAAAACGAACUAUCCAAAUGAAAUAUGCAUGUUCACAAGUUCAAAAACCUGAACUUGAACAUCCAUGGGGCGCGUUACAUAAAUUACUUCCAGCUUUAUGAAUAACGUGUCAGACAAUAAAUUGAAUACCACGCGUAUCUGAAUUGCAAGAGAAAAUCUGUUUCCUUUUUUUAAUCGGACUUUAGAGUGAAUUUCAAACGAAUUGGACAUACGUGACUGG